This 415-nucleotide ribosomal RNA is filed under the name Streptomyces sp. MBT92. RNAcentral's name for it is "bacterial SSU rRNA". It matches the Rfam family "Bacterial small subunit ribosomal RNA", at positions 99 to 527 of the family's 1533-position model. The record is from RNAcentral. Lineage: Bacteria; Bacillati; Actinomycetota; Actinomycetes; Kitasatosporales; Streptomycetaceae.
GCGACGGGUGAGUACACGUGGGCAAUCUGCCCUGCACUCUGGGACAAGCCCUGGAAACGGGGUCUAAUACCGGAUACUGAUCCUUGCGGGCAUCUGCGAGGUUCGAAAGCUCCGGCGGUGCAGGAUGAGCCCGCGGCCUAUCAGCUUGUUGGUGAGGUAAUGGCUCACCAAGGCGACGACGGGUAGCCGGCCUGAGAGGGCGACCGGCCACACUGGGACUGAGACACGGCCCAGACUCCUACGGGAGGCAGCAGUGGGGAAUAUUGCACAAUGGGCGAAAGCCUGAUGCAGCGACGCCGCGUGAGGGAUGACGGCCUUCGGGUUGUAAACCUCUUUCAGCAGGGAAGAAGCGAAAGUGACGGUACCUGCAGAAGAAGCGCCGGCUAACUACGUGCCAGCAGCCGGGGGUAAUACG